UACGAACCGUGCGAACGUUGUUCGGAUUCAUUGGGCGUAAAGGGUGCGUAGGUGGCGCUGUAAGUCGGGUGUGAAAUCCUGAGGCUUAACCUCGGAACUGCAUUCGAUACUGCGGCGCUUGAGGACUGGAGAGGAGACUGGAAUUCAUGGUGUAGCAGUGAAAUGCGUAGAGAUCAUGAGGAAGACCAGUGGCGAAGGCGGGUCUCUGGACAGUUCCUGACACUGAGGCACGAAGGCCAGGGGAGCAAACGGG
Molecule: ribosomal RNA, 253 nt
Filed under: uncultured bacterium
Lineage: Bacteria
Description: partial 16S ribosomal RNA
Rfam family: Bacterial small subunit ribosomal RNA
Source: RNAcentral